AUGAUGAUGCUAAACAUACCCUAACCAGAAGAAUCUUUGUAUUGGAAGAAUAAUUUGAAUCUUUCUAUUAUGAACUUCUCUUAAAACUUUAUAGACUGUUGCAUCCGAACUCAAAGUUCUAGUUGGAGACUGACUGGUUUCUACGGUUUUCCGGAAAAUAAUAGACGAAGAGCUUCCUGGAAUCUCUUAAGAUCUCUUGCAGCUCGUAGCACAUCUCCUUGACUGAGUGUGGGUGAUUAUAAUGACAUAGCUGCAGACUAUGAGAAGUCUGGUGGGCCCCCUCGCUCUAAUUAUCUUCUGAACGGUUUUAGGGAGUCCAUAAACGACACAGGUUUAUGUGAGUUGUUAACUGUCGGCUACCCUUUUACUUGGGAGGGAAAAACUAGAGAUGGCAACAUCAUCAGAGAGAAGUUAGAUAGAUCUAUGUCCUCUUCCGAUUGGGCGUUGAUUUUUCCGGAGGCAGUUUGCAAGACUCUUCUUGCUCCAGUUUCAGACCAUAAUCCUUUAUUGAUUGAUAUGAAUCCUAUCGACUACUCUAAUUUGAUUCGCCUUUUCAAAUUUGAUAAUGCUUGGCUACUUGAUGAGGAAGUUGAUGGGACCGCGCGUACCAUCCAAUCCCGAAUUAGAAGUUAAGUCAGUUGUUCAGAAUUCUUGGUCUAAAACAGGUACAGUCAAUAUUAUUUGCAAAAGAGACACUGUGAUUGAAGACUUGAAACAGUGGGGUUAUCAUCGAAACAGAGAUUUUUGGCGUAAGAAGCGUAAUAUUCAAAAACAUCUGGAGUCUGAUCGAGAUUUAUUUGAUGGCGCAGAUUCGUUGAGGUUGAAAGAGAAGCGGUGUAAAAUUCUUGUAGAAGAGGAUGUCCGGAAGCGUCAAUAGGCAAAACUUUUUUGGAUGAAAUUUGGUGAUAAAAACACCAAAUAUUUUCACUCUCAAACAAAAAGCGGGAGACGUGUUAACAAAAUUGAACAAUUGCGGUAUGAGGAUGGAGAAAAUUUUUUGAAUCCUUUGGUUAUCCAGAAAAUUAUUGUUGAUUAUUUUCGAUCUCUGUUCUCGGCGGAUAGUGUUUCUGAACGUGCCCGUCUGCUUCAUCUUGUUCCUAGAAAGGUUACACAAGCAGACAACGAUUUUCUAUUGGUUUCGUUUAGUAGUGAAGAAUUUAAAGAGGCUAUUUUUUCUAUGCAUCCCGACAAAGCUCCAGGCCCAAAUGGACUUAAUCCAGCCUUUUAUCAGAAAUUUUGGCACAUUGUGGGCAAUGAGGUGGUGGCUAGUUGCAAUACUUGGCUCUCUUAAGAUUUAGAAACGAGAGGGAAAGAAGCUGCAAAUUUAUCUGCUAUUCAUGUUUGGAAGUUGUGGUGUUCCAGGAAUGACUUUCUGUGGAGCAAAAAGUUCAUUUCGCAGCUCAAAUUCAUGGUAUUGCAUCCUCCUUCAUGCAUGAAUGGAAGUCCAUGUUACUUACACUAAGAGGAACCCACUCACUGUAUGCUUUUCAUGGCCCUUAUUCAACAUCUCUUAACGGCUUGGAUGAUUGUAGUCCUUGUUGGCAAGCUUUUGUUGAUGGUGCAACCUUCCAUGCUCAAGACUUAAUCGGCUUUGGUACAGUAAUAGAAGAUAUUGAAAGAGCUUUUAUUCAAGCUGUAUCAGGCUUGCAAGAAGGAAAUGUUGACCCUCGCAUUGUCGAAUCAAUUGCUCUUCGCCAUUGUUUAUUGCUUGUGCUAAUCUCCCUGUUGCUGGUUUUAUUUUUUCAAACUGUCAAGUUUUAGUUCAUGCCCUUUAUUCCUCUAGAGACGAUAAUUCUGAGUUUGGUAUGCUUGUUUUGGAUCGUAAACGUUUACUUGAAAGUAGGCUUGAUGUUUAAGUCAAGUGGUUUAAGAAAUAAGCUAAUAUUGGUAUUCAUAAAUUUAUCAGAGUAUCAAUUUAUUA
Non-coding RNA from Jatropha curcas, 1921 nucleotides. The record is from RefSeq and is a predicted model, not a curated record. Lineage: Eukaryota; Viridiplantae; Streptophyta; Magnoliopsida; Malpighiales; Euphorbiaceae.